UACGUAGGGUGCGAGCGUUAAUCGGAAUUACUGGGCGUAAAGCGUGCGUAGGUGGUUGUUUAAGUCUGUUGUGAAAGCCCUGGGCUCAACCUGGGAACCGCAUUUCGAACUGGCAAACUAGAGUCUUGUAGAGGGGGGUAGAAUUCCAGGUGUAGCGGUGAAAUGCGUAGAGAUCUGGAGGAAUACCGGUGGCGAAGGCGGCCCCCUGGACAAAGACUGACGCUCAGGCACGAAAGCGUGGGGAGCAAACAGG
Molecule: ribosomal RNA, 253 nt
Filed under: uncultured microorganism
Description: partial 16S ribosomal RNA
Rfam family: Bacterial small subunit ribosomal RNA
Source: RNAcentral